ACUCCUACGGGAGGCAGCAGUAGGGAAUCUUCCGCAAUGGACGAAAGUCUGACGGAGCAACGCCGCGUGAACGAUGAAGGUUUUCGGAUCGUAAAGUUCUGUUGUUAGGGAAGAACACGUACCGUUCGAAUAGGGCGGUAUCUUGACGGUACCUAACGAGAAAGCCCCGGCUAACUACGUGCCAGCAGCCGCGGUAAUACGUAGGGGGCAAGCGUUGUCCGGAAUUAUUGGGCGUAAAGCGCGCGCAGGCGGUCCUUUAAGUCUGAUGUGAAAUCUUGCGGCUCAACCGCAAGCGGUCAUUGGAAACUGGGGGACUUGAGUACAGAAGAGGAGAGUGGAAUUCCAUGUGUAGCGGUGAAAUGCGUAGAUAUAUGGAGGAACACCAGUGGCGAAGGCGACUCUCUGGUCUGUAACUGACGCUGAGGCGCGAAAGCGUGGGGAGCAAACAGGAUUAGAUACCCUGGUAGUCCACGCCGUAAACGAUGAGUGCUAGGUGUUAGGGGGUUUCCGCCCCUUAGUGCUGCAGUUAACGCAUUAAGCACUCCGCCUGGGGAGUACGGCCGCAAGGCUGAAACUCAAAAGAAUUGACGG
This 591-nucleotide ribosomal RNA is filed under the name uncultured bacterium. RNAcentral's name for it is "bacterial SSU rRNA". It matches the Rfam family "Bacterial small subunit ribosomal RNA", at positions 335 to 916 of the family's 1533-position model. The record is from RNAcentral.